Molecule: ribosomal RNA, 417 nt
Filed under: uncultured bacterium
Lineage: Bacteria
Description: bacterial SSU rRNA
Rfam family: Bacterial small subunit ribosomal RNA
Source: RNAcentral
AACGAACGCUGGCGGCAGGCUUAACACAUGCAAGUCGAACGGGUGUAGCAAUACACCAGUGGCAGACGGGUGAGUAACACGUGGGAACCUUCCUCAUAGUACGGAACAACUCAGGGAAACUUGUGCUAAUACCGUAUACGUCCGAGAGGAGAAAGAUUUAUCGCUAUGAGACGGGCCCGCGUCGGAUUAGGUAGUUGGUGGGGUAACAGCCUACCAAGCCUACGAUCCGUAGCUGAUCNGAGAGGAUGAUCAGCCACACUGGGACUGAGACACGGCCCAGACUCCUACGGGAGGCAGCAGUGGGGAAUCUUGGACAAUGGGCGCAAGCCUGAUCCAGCCAUGCCGCGUGAGUGAAGAAGGCCUUAGGGUUGUAAAGCUCUUUUGGCAGGGACGAUAAUGACGGUACCUGCAGAAUAA